RNAcentral lists this ribosomal RNA (520 nucleotides) under uncultured Glomus. RNAcentral's name for it is "SSU rRNA". It matches the Rfam family "Eukaryotic small subunit ribosomal RNA", at positions 569 to 1089 of the family's 1831-position model. The record is from RNAcentral. Lineage: Eukaryota; Fungi; Glomeromycota; Glomeromycetes; Glomerales; Glomeraceae.
AGCAGCCGCGGUAAUUCCAGCUCCAAUAGCGUAUAUUAAAGUUGUUGCAGUUAAAAAGCUCGCAGUUGAAUUUCGGGGUUAGUAGGUUGGUCGUGCCACUGGUACGUACUGGUCUCACUGAUUCCUCCUUCCUGAUGAACUGUAAUGCCAUUAAUUUGGUGUUGCAGGGAAACUGGACUGUUACUUUGAAAAAAUUAGAGUGUUUAAAGCAAGCUAACGCUUGAAUACAUUAGCAUGGAAUAAUGAAAUAGGACGUUCGAUCCUAUUUUGUUGGUUUCUAGGAUUGACGUAAUGAUUAAUAGGGAUAGUUGGGGGCAUUAGUAUUCAAUUGUCAGAGGUGAAAUUCUUGGAUUUAUUGAAGACUAACUACUGCGAAAGCAUUUGCCAAGGAUGUUUUCAUUAAUCAAUGAACGAAAGUUAGGGGAUCGAAGACGAUCAGAUACCGUCGUAGUCUUAACCAUAAACUAUGCCGACUAGGGAUCGGAUGAUGUUAAUUUUUUAAUGACUCAUUCGGCGCCUU